Triticum aestivum (bread wheat) is the source of this 1341-nucleotide long non-coding RNA. RefSeq lists it as uncharacterized. NCBI's taxonomy places the organism in Eukaryota, Viridiplantae, Streptophyta, Magnoliopsida, Poales, Poaceae. The record is from RefSeq and is a predicted model, not a curated record. The transcript has 4 exons.
CCUUGCUUCUUAUUCAGUUCGUCGACGCUGCUUCAGUUAUCCUGAACCUAUUGCGAGUCCACGACGAACAAGCAAGGAUCGCGGUUCUCACAAAUUAAGCCAACCCAUCAGUCGAGAUCACGAACAAAACCGCAGAGAUCGAGCUAGGAAAUAUCAAAACGAAACUCGACGGAGACGGAGACGGAGACGGCAAGGGGAAGAGGGGUCCGGUUUUGGGAGCUGGGCGACCUCCCCCGCCGUGGAGGUGGGCGCGGCUCGGGGCGCCACGCGCGCCUCCGCCGUGUGGGGAGGCUUGCCUCGGCUAAGCGCGUCGCCGUCGCGGGGAGGUAGAUGAGGAAGAGUGGAAACGGGGCUGCCUCGCCGGAUGCCCGCGACCUGUUCGACGGAAUGCGGCCGCGCGGCGACGUAAGGAAAGAGUCGAAAGCCGGGAUGAAGGAACUCGCGACUACCUACAGUUAGAAAUCAAAAGCGCAGGCAAACAUAUGGCGCAUUUCAUGGCUGCUUUAGUGGCGCCACAUCAUAAGAGGUUUUGGAAUGCGUGUGUUUUGCCAUCCUCGUUGAACGGCAGUAUAGCAGGGAAAGUUUUGACCAGGAUGUGUGAAACAAGUAAUGAAGUCCAGGCGGUAUGCCUUUGGCGUGAUGAAGGAGGCAGGGACGAACCUUGGAGAUUGCUGUCGAGCCAUUUGGACUGCCUGGUGCGGAUGUGGCUCGCCCACCACCACGAGUAGGCGUUGCUCGCCGCGCGCUGCAGCAUCCUCCGCGGCGCUUGUUCAGCUGCCGGCAGGACAAGAUCAAAGUGCAGGACUCAAUUGAAAGGCCAACAAUGUGCACACAUUGGCUACAUUUGCUGUGGGCUGUAUGCCAUUUUCGGAAGAAGGCGGCGUGGCGCGGCAAUGGCGGAGAGGGGGAAGAAGAACAGAGACGGAGAGCAGGAAUGCGAUGCUAGCAAUCUUCCUGCAGAGAUGCCAUUGUGCUUGAUUGGAAUUUGAGCGGAAGCGAGCAGUAGGUGGUAGUGGAAGAGAAGUGGUGGUGAUGGCAUGGUGCAGGGCUCGGGGAGGUCUAGUCUCUGAGAUGUGGGCCCCGGCCUCCCGGGAGUGUGUGCUGUCCUGGGUCGCGGCCUGUGCUGCUGCUCGUGCUCGGCACGUCGGCGGGCAUGUGCACGACGUUGGGCCAGAAGUAGCUCUGAGAUGGGCCGUGGGCUCAACCUGUGCCUUUGCCUUUUUUUUGUGUGUGCAUGUCUUUUCCUUUUUCCUUUUCUUUUGCAGAAUUGGUGUCAGUAGCAAGUUAAAGCUGAUGGAAACAGAUAAGGUGUUGUUUUAUUCUUAUAAGAAAUUUCUUAUA